UGAUUAAAUACAAGGGACACAUACUGGAUUGAACCAACUAACAUGCACAUGAAUUGAGUUUAUUAUCAUUAUGGCAAUAACUAUAAGCUCAAACAGAGCUAGACAACUUGCAAGCAUUUAAAAUGCCCGUUCCCAAGAGAGACUGCAGCUUUAUAUAAGAUAUGUAAGCACAGGGGAAAGGCUGAAGCUGACAGGAUUUUUCCAAAAACUACAGACUGCUAAGAUCAAUGUGUUUUGCCCUAAAUAUCUCUGGCUUGUAUGGAAAAAUGUCAGAACAAUAAAGCAGUUAUUCUCUGGAGGUUGGCCUGAAAUUAUCACAAAUUACUGAAAACUGCAUGUUCUUCUAUUGUAGCCAAGCUAUCCCACCUUGUUGUUGAAGAUGUUGUUUCAAGAAUCUAACACUUAAAUGACUUUUGGAUGGAAUCCUGAUAUUUUCUAGAAUCACUAAAUGGUGCUGCCAAAGCUACAAGGCAAUUUACAAGACUGGAUAAGAGUACUCCAGGAAAGACUGGAUUUCAGACAAUGCAAAAUUGGAAGGAAUAUGUUGUGCACCAGAUGGUUGUGCUGCCAGAGGGAACUUGACAGGCUGGAGAAAUGAACUGACAGGAAAUUUGUGACGUUGAACAAAGAGAAAAGCCAAGUCCUGCACCAGAGGAUCCAGAUAAUAUCCCCAGGCAUCAGUACAGGCUGGGCACCAACUGGAUGGGAAGUAGGUCUCCUGAGAAGGAACGGCGGAUCCUGGUGAACAACGAGUUGCAUAUAAUUCAUCACUAGGUCCUUGUGGCUAAGAAAAUGAACAGAUUCCUGGGGUGUAUUAGUGUCCUGGUUUUGGC
Molecule: long non-coding RNA, 833 nt
Organism: Oxyura jamaicensis (ruddy duck)
Lineage: Eukaryota; Metazoa; Chordata; Aves; Anseriformes; Anatidae
Exons: 2
Source: RefSeq, a predicted model, not a curated record